Molecule: ribosomal RNA, 392 nt
Filed under: uncultured bacterium
Lineage: Bacteria
Description: partial 16S ribosomal RNA
Rfam family: Bacterial small subunit ribosomal RNA
Source: RNAcentral
AUACGGAGGAUCCGAGCGUUAUCCGGAUUUAUUGGGUUUAAAGGGUGCGCAGGCGGCCAUUUAAGUCAGCGGUUAAAUCGUGGGGCUCAACCCCAUUCUGCCGUUGAUACUGGGUGGCUUGAUUGCGGUCGAGGUUGGCGGACUUCGUUGGUGAGCGGUGAAAUGCAUAGAUAUGCCGAAGAACACCGAUUGCGUAGGCAGCUGACCAGACCGCAAAUGACGCUCAUGCACGAAAGUGCGGGGAUCGAACAGGAUUAGAUACCCUGGUAGUCCGCACAGUAAACGAUGAAUACUUGUUUUCGGCGAUAUAAUGUCGGAGGCAAAGCGAAAGCGAUAAGUAUUCCACCUGGGGAGUACGCCGGCAACGGUGAAACUCAAAGGAAUUGACGGGG